GGCUAAGGAAGGAGAACAUCCUCGAAAGACCGAGCCAAACAAACGAAGAAGUCCUUGCAAGCCAUGGGGUUAUUCCCAGGAUAGAGAUUGAUCCCCAUCUCCACCAAGAAGAGAAGGAAAACAACUAGUGGAUGAGUAGCAUCAAUCACUCAUCCUCUAUUCCUUGGCAGGCAGCAGGCAGAUCCAUGCCUAAAAAGAGCACCGAGCAAAACUUCAACACUUAUUGAUCCCAUCAAUUGACCUCUAAGAGAUCAUGCCAGGGUGAGGCUAGCUUGGUCAACCAAGAAGUAGGUAUCGGAGUGGACGAGCAUUGAAAUGAGGGUGUUUGUGACCAAAAGAGUUUGAGUCUAGAUGCAUCACAUGCGUAACCAACAGCAUCUCAACGGAGUAAGCGUUUGUACAUUCAACGGGAAGAUCAAAGAGCAACUCAUGUUAAGUGGCAUUCCUCUGCACCUCCAAAAUUGAGCUUGAGAUGAAAUAUGGAAGAAACCAAGACUUUGGACAAAGAUGAAAUUCUAAGCUUGAGAAGACCCCUAAAAUGCCUCAAUAGUUGGAGAUGGCUACCAGCUUCAUCUCAGAGGGUUCGAAAGACCCAAGACAACCGAGCCAAUUGUUGAGUUUGUGAA
Long non-coding RNA from Diospyros lotus (date-plum), 626 nucleotides. RefSeq lists it as uncharacterized. NCBI's taxonomy places the organism in Eukaryota, Viridiplantae, Streptophyta, Magnoliopsida, Ericales, Ebenaceae. The record is from RefSeq and is a predicted model, not a curated record. The transcript has 3 exons.